GAGGGUAUAGCUCGAUGGUAGAGUGUGCACUUAGCGUGCACGAGGUCCUGGGUUCAAUCCCCAGCACCUCCA
RNAcentral lists this transfer RNA (72 nucleotides) under Camelus dromedarius (Arabian camel). It matches the Rfam family "tRNA". From Rfam's summary of the family: Transfer RNA (tRNA) molecules are approximately 80 nucleotides in length. Their secondary structure includes four short double-helical elements and three loops (D, anti-codon, and T loops). The record is from Rfam by way of RNAcentral. Lineage: Eukaryota; Metazoa; Chordata; Mammalia; Artiodactyla; Camelidae. RNAcentral also lists the same sequence under 1 other name.